AACUGCUUGUUCUUCAUAAAAGGGAAGGAAGUGACUCAGACAGGAGAAAUGCUGCAGUGGGGACUGUUGACAAUCUUCAGGCUGAUAGAAAAAGAAAUUGCUCGAAUAUAAGGUUGACCCUGCAGAAGAUUCUGGUAAAUGAUGUCACUAUGGGUACUGCGUCCCUUUGAGGACUCCGGGUCUGUGACCUGAUGAGUUGAUGUAGCAGUGGGACUAGUUUGCCUUUUGCUUGGAUGCAGGCACUGGCAGAGUGCUAGAUGGUUUCAUGCUAAGCUGAUGGAAUGGAAUGUGUCUGGAAGGUGGUGGGGACGUUUGAUAAUGGAUGAUGAGGAAGUUUUGCCAUGACAUCACGAAGUCUCACUAUUGAGGAUGUGAGUAAAAUGUAAAUGCAGCCACUGUAAUCUAGAGGGAUUUUGACAACAUCUUUGUAAGGUUAUUGUGCUCUAAAUAAUGUUAAAACAUGGACUUUAUGUAAAUGUAAAUGAACUGAUGUUUAGCUAUUGGGAUAAGAUACUGCAGAUGUACUGUGGGAUACGUAUAAAUGAAUGCGUAACCUAGAUGCUUUGAGUUAUAAAAGAUGGUACUUUGACCAUCUGUCAGCAGUUUUCUUUUACCCGGCUAAGGAAAUUGUGAAUAUGAAAUGAAAUAACAGCUUAUUAGCAAGUGUUUGGAUUGUAAGAAUGUGUUUUGAUUUUUGUAAUAAAGAAUCUUAACUCUACCUCCUAGUUUUUGCUGAAGUAAACCUUUGAUUUUCAGGAAUUAUUUUUAGUUUGGGUAGAAUUGAUCAUAAGAGAAGAGUAGGGAUUAAAUCUUGUCUAAUCUCAAGUUAGGACAGUGGUCAACGUGCUAGCAAUUUCUGCCUUGCUAAAGAAUUCCCAUUGGUAGGAAACCAUAGAGCAGCUGUAGAUGGGUUUUCAGAACUUAUUACAGUAAUAGCUUUAACAAAAAGCUAUGAAAACUUCAAUGAAAAAAAAAAACCCACAAAACAUCAGGUCAACACAUGGGCAGGUUUGCCUGCUUUUUUAUGAUCCAGAAAAACAGCUUUCGUACCAAGCAGAACAAAAAGGCUCCCAACCCUAUAUGCUCAUAUUAGAUGAAGGUGAAUCCCUAAAACAGAGCCACUUCUUCCUGCUUACACAAGCUUUCCCUCCUACGUGACUUCAUAGCAACUGCAGGGGAACUGUUAGGUUACAGGCUGAACUGGUAAUUAAACAGCUGGUGAAGGAGCAUGGCUGGCCCAGGGAGCACAGGCAAAUUGUUUUCACCUGUGCUCUCCACAGGACUAGAAAUUGUGGACCCAGAGUGGCCCCACCCUGGGCUCAUAUAAGGAUCAGCCACAAAAAGGAGAGCAUCUCUUGGACUUUGGUUGCUUUUUGUGUAGGAGUGUUUUAUGUCCAGUGAGCCUCUUUCCAAGUUGGGUGAGUUAGACUCUUCUUAGUAUGUGAAUAGCAUUGUUUUUCUCUGUGAUCUUGCUUUACAGAAGCUCUGAGGUUGCAGUAACCUACUUUUAUCUAUACAUCCACCAUGUGCAAGGACUUUUUCUCAGGUUUCACGUGAAUUGUUAUGAGUUAUAGUGUACCGGGAUAGAAAACUGCUUAUUAUGGCAUAACAAGAAUGGGAAUUUGCCAGACUAGAGGAAAACAGCUAAAAGGUUGGCCAAGGGCUACUGGGAGGCAGCUGAUGAUAGGAAACUUAGGAGGAAUUAAGUGGUGUAAGACCACCAUAGGCCCCUACCAUACAUGCCCAGAGGGACAUUAGCAUACAUUACUGACUUCUUGGAAGAUAAUGCAUAUAUCUGCUAGUGUAUUGUAUACGUAUGUCUUAACUGUUUAAAUGCAGAACCUGAACUCUGAGCAUGUGCUUGACUUAUCAGGUUGCCUCGUACGUAUUGUGAAUAAACGGAAUGCUGGCUUUCUAAC
Gallus gallus (chicken) is the source of this 1919-nucleotide long non-coding RNA. NCBI's taxonomy places the organism in Eukaryota, Metazoa, Chordata, Aves, Galliformes, Phasianidae. The record is from Ensembl.